Molecule: ribosomal RNA, 287 nt
Filed under: uncultured bacterium
Lineage: Bacteria
Description: partial 16S ribosomal RNA
Rfam family: Bacterial small subunit ribosomal RNA
Source: RNAcentral
AGCGAACGCUGGCGGCAGGCCUAACACAUGCAAGUCGAGCGGCCGUAGCAAUACGGCAGCGGCAGACGGGAUAGUAACACGUGGGAACGCGCCCUUCGGUUCGGAAUAACUCAGGGAAACUUGAGCUAAUACCGGAUACGCCCUAACGGGGAAAGAUUUAUUGCCGAAGGAACGGCCCGCGUCCGAUUAGCUAGUUGGUGAGGUAAUGGCUCACCAAGGCGACGAUCGGUAGCUGGCUGAGAGGAUGACCAGCAUCACUGGGACUGAGACACGGCCCAGACUCCUAC